Molecule: non-coding RNA, 958 nt
Organism: Salvia hispanica
Lineage: Eukaryota; Viridiplantae; Streptophyta; Magnoliopsida; Lamiales; Lamiaceae
Source: RefSeq, a predicted model, not a curated record
UCCACCAAGGACCACGUACACCUCCAUCGGUCAACUCCCUCUCUUCCACAAUCCAUUUUCUCCCAAAUUAAUCCAAUUUCAGAAUCGGAAGGAACGACGUCUCCAGCCGCCCUUCUCCCUCUUCUCCGGCGAAAUCGCCUCCACCUCGACUGAAUUUCGGAGUCCCGUCGGCGGGUACUUCCUUCUCCAUCGCAUUCGCUUCUUUCGUCGAGCUCGGAGGAGAUCUCGGCUCUCCGGCGGAUUCGCCACCGCCGUUCUCUCCUCCAGACGAAGUCUCCGACAGAGAAGGUGUCGCCUUUCACUCUCCGUCUCCCUCUCUGUUUUCUUUUCUCCGCCGAGAAUCUUCCUCCGGAGACAUCAGCGCCGGCGCCGAACAAGUGUCGGGGAGCUCCUCGCCUUCGGAGCUGCUGCGUCGCUGCCCCGUCUGUCGGAUUCGCGUGAGGCAGCUCCCUUCUCGGUCUCCCCCGUAAUCUCGUUAUCACUGGACAGCCUUCCCCCUAAGCUAAGUCUUCUAACUUAGUUAUUUUACUUAGGCCUCUCAAUGGCAGUAGCUAUGUACCAAAAUUCCAAGUUGGGUAUCGUAUGAAUGGCUUACUGGAAAGGGCUAAAUGUUAUGCUAAUUGAUCACUGUGGUUGAGGGACAACUCAUGCUAUCUCUAGGGGACUACUAAUCGACCCUUUGGCAUGGAAUGGGGAUCAAGAAUGGAGAUAUGUGUAGAGAGGAUCCUCAAUAAGAUUUAGCAAAUCACUACUUUUGUUUCUUUACUUCAUUUAGCUCUCAUAGGAAAAUUUCUUUUGUAAAGUAGAUAUAUCUUCUCUACUUGUUCCAACACCAAUAUUCAUGUAAUCUUUUUCAUGAAAGGUAGUUCUCUUAUAUUGUAAGGUAUACCUCCAACCUUUCUUCUUUUGAAUAAAUUCCAAUAACACUUGUACACCUAUUUAUGUGAAAUUCUUGGCA